CGUCGGUCCCUUCGCAACGUGAAACCGUGAACCCGGUCAGGCCCGGAAGGGAGCAGCCGCAGCGGUGGCAACGUGUGCCGGGGUGCGGCUGGCGCGG
RNAcentral lists this signal recognition particle RNA (97 nucleotides) under Thermochromatium tepidum ATCC 43061. Its description in RNAcentral is "signal recognition particle sRNA small type". It matches the Rfam family "Bacterial small signal recognition particle RNA". From Rfam's summary of the family: The signal recognition particle (SRP) is a universally conserved ribonucleoprotein involved in the co-translational targeting of proteins to membranes. Archaeal SRP consists of a 7S RNA and homologues of the eukaryotic SRP19 and SRP54 proteins. In most bacteria, the SRP consists of a 4.5S RNA and the Ffh protein (a homologue of the eukaryotic SRP54 protein). Lineage: Bacteria; Pseudomonadati; Pseudomonadota; Gammaproteobacteria; Chromatiales; Chromatiaceae. The record is from RNAcentral.